This 244-nucleotide ribosomal RNA is filed under the name uncultured bacterium. RNAcentral's name for it is "partial 16S ribosomal RNA". It matches the Rfam family "Bacterial small subunit ribosomal RNA", at positions 1246 to 1500 of the family's 1533-position model. The record is from RNAcentral.
GAAGCGAGGCUGUGAAGCGGAGCAAAUCUCAAAAACCGGUCCCAGUUCGGAUUGUAGGCUGCAACUCGCCUACAUGAAGUCGGAGUUGCUAGUAAUCGCGGAUCAGAAUGCCGCGGUGAAUGCGUUCCCGGGUCUUGUACACACCGCCCGUCACACCAUGGAAGUUGGGGGCGCCCGAAGUUGCCUAAGAAAUAAGGUACCUAAGGCGAAACCAAUGACUGGGGUGAAGUCGUAACAAGGUAGC